RNAcentral lists this ribosomal RNA (381 nucleotides) under marine Metazoa environmental sample. RNAcentral's name for it is "SSU rRNA". It matches the Rfam family "Eukaryotic small subunit ribosomal RNA", at positions 587 to 972 of the family's 1831-position model. Lineage: Eukaryota; Metazoa. The record is from RNAcentral.
AGCUCCAAUAGCGUAUAUUAAAGUUGUUGCAGUUAAAAAGCUCGUAGUUGGAUCUCAGGUCCCGGCUCGCGGUUCACUUCGCGGUGCUUACUGCCCGUCCGGACCUACCCGCCGGUUUUCCCUUGGUGCUCUUCACUGAGUGUCUCGGGUGGCCGGAACGUUUACUUUGAAAAAAUUAGAGUGUUCAAAGCAGGCGCUUCGCCUGAAUAAUGGUGCAUGGAAUAAUGGAAUAGGACCUCGGUUCUAUUUUGUUGGUUUUCGGAACUCGAGGUAAUGAUUAAGAGGGACAGACGGGGGCAUUCGUAUUACGGUGUUAGAGGUGAAAUUCUUGGAUCGCCGUAAGACGAACUACUGCGAAAGCAUUUGCCAAGAAUGUUUUCA